ACCAGUUAGUUUCGAAUCUAAGACAAUUCCCAAAAACUUAACAUUAUCUUUAACUGGAAUCUGAUAACCCUCAUAAAAUAUAGAAAUAGGAGGAGGAGUUCUUGAUCUCGUGAAUAAAACUAUUGUACUUUUUUCAGGUGAUAGAUCAAGGCCAUUUAAGUCCAACCAAGUUUUUAAAUUUAUCAGCGGUUGUGUUAUAGAAGAACUAGCUUUUUCAAUAGAAAUAUCACGACAGUAAAUUAAUAGAUCAUCAGCAUAAUGAAGAACAUUUACACUAUUAAGUGAUGAUUUUAAAUCGUGUGUAUAAAUAUUAUACAAUAUUGGGCUAAGUACUGAUCCCUGGGGGAGGCCCUUUGAAACAAGUCGAGUAAUUGACUUCCUGUCAUCUAGUUUCAGGAUUAUGUAUCUUUCGGAAAGCAUGUUUAUGAUAAAAUUUGUUAAUAGCAGAGGUAUAUUAAGUUGUAAAAGCUUACUCUUUAAAAUACUUAUUACGACAUUAUCAUAGGCACAAUUUAUAUCUAAGAACGCAGCUAUUACUGAUUUAUUAUUUGAAAAUGAUAAUUGAAUAUCAGAAAUGAAUAUACUUAAGCUAUCAAUAGUACUUUUCCCACGUCUGAAACCGAAUUGGGAUUCACAUAAUAGACCGUUAUGCUCAACAAACCAUUCUAAACGAUUUUUUAUAAAAUGUUCUGUAAUUUUCAUCAAAACAGAAGAAAGUGCGAUUGGGCGAUAGGCAGAAUGGUCUGCAGAACACCUAUUAGGUUUCAGUACGGGAAUUAUUUCUUGACGUUUCCACGUGGAGGGGAUGUUACCAGAUGUCACUAUGGAAUUUAUAAGAGAUAAAUAAUAAAAUAAAGCAUCAUCAUCUAAAUGAGAGAUAAAGGAAUACGGAAUACCGUCCAGUCCAGGAGCAGAAUCCUUAACAUGAGACAAUACUUUUAAUUUAGUUCAGUGAGAGAAAAUAUACUGUUUAAACCAAAACAGUUAUCAUUAUUUAUAUUUAUUACAGGGUAACCAAUUAUUAAGUCUUCAGGAACGAAAGGUGGAGCCAAUUUAUCUAAAAAGCUAUUAACUAAAUGAAAAGGGAUUGAUUUUGGAGAUGAAUCUUUGUAUGCAGAUCUAAACCUUCUUAUAUUUUGCCAUACAAGAGAUGGUUUGACAUCAGGUGAUAUUGAAUAGCAGAAAUUUUUCCAGCCAUCAAAUUUCUUUUUCUUUAGAAAUUUUGAAGUUUCUGACAUACUCUUUGUAAGAAUUUCAAAAUUCUCAUCAGUGGAGCAUUGACAGUAUGUAAUUUCAGCAUAUUUUCUUCUCUUUACUGCCUCAGUACAUUCGUUAUCCCACCAAGGAGGAGAAGGAAUAAAACCCAAAGAGCUAUUUUUACUUGGAAAUAUCUCAUUGGCAACCUCAAUAAAGAUUCUUGCUAAAGAAUCUGCACACUGAGAUUCUGUACCUGGAUUAAUUUUUGGAAGUGUUGGAAAUGAUAAUAAUAGUGGGAAGUGAUCACUACCAAAAGUAGAUCGUAAUGGAUCCCAGGACAAAUAAGAAGCAAGAUUAGGUGUAGUGACUGUUAAAUCUGGAGCACUUGGGCCCUCGUCAGGAUGAGAACGUCGUGUAGGACGACCAUCAUUUAAUAUACACAAAUUCACUGAAUCAGAUAUAUCUAUUAAUGUGUUACCAUAACUAUUAGAAGAUAAGUAACCCCAGGAUUCAUGGCGACAGUUAAAAUCACCAAGGAUCAUAAAAGGCUUCGGAAGAAUGGAAAUAAUAUCUUUGAUUUCAUUUAAGAUUGCAGAAGAAGGAUGAGGUAUAUAAAUAGAUACAUAACAGAUAUUUUCAACUAAAGCAGCAAUAAUAGAAAAAUCAUUACUGUGAGAAGGAAUAGAGAAGAGAGAAAAGGAAAGUGGGUGUUUCACAAGCAUGGCUACUCCGCCAUGCCCAUCCACACGAUCUUCUCUGAGACAUGAAUAACCUCGAAUCUUAAAUAAAGAUCCUGGUUUCAACCAUGUCUCUUGAAGAGCACAGAUAUAAGGUUUAUAUUUAUUUAAUAAAUAAAUAAGAUCACUUUUUUUAGGAGUGAUGCUUUGACAAUUCCAUUGAAGAACUUUGUCCAUUAUUUGGUUUAUAAAUUUGAGUAAUUGCAGAAACUAAUAAGGCAGCGUUGGAUGGUGAAAAUUCAUUCGAUUGACUAAGAGAUUUUAUAAGAGAAAUAAUUAAAUCAAUUACUGAGGAUUCCAAA
Molecule: long non-coding RNA, 2236 nt
Organism: Leptidea sinapis
Lineage: Eukaryota; Metazoa; Arthropoda; Insecta; Lepidoptera; Pieridae
Exons: 2
Source: RefSeq, a predicted model, not a curated record